This 395-nucleotide ribosomal RNA is filed under the name uncultured bacterium. RNAcentral's name for it is "bacterial SSU rRNA". It matches the Rfam family "Bacterial small subunit ribosomal RNA", at positions 29 to 415 of the family's 1533-position model. The record is from RNAcentral.
AAUGAACGCUGGCGGCGCGCCUAAUACAUGCAAGUCGAGCGAGAAGACGUAGCAAUACGUUUGUAAAGCGGCGAACGGGUGAGGAAUACAUGGGUAACCUACCCUCGAGUGGGGAAUAACUAGCCGAAAGGUUAGCUAAUACCGCGUACGCUCCUUGGACUUCGGUUCAGGGAGGAAAGCGAUACCGUGGGUAUCGCGCUCUUGGUUGGGCUCAUGUCCUAUCAGCUUGUUGGUGAGGAACGGCUCACCAAGGCUUCGACGGGUAGCUGGUCUGAGAGGACGAUCAGCCACACUGGCACUGCGACACGGGCCAGACUCCUACGGGAGGCAGCAGUAAGGAAUAUCGCGCAAUGGGCGAAAGCCUGACGCAGCGACGCCGCGUGGGGGAUAAAGGU